UACGGAGGGUGCGAGCGUUGUCCGGAAUCAUUGGGCGUAAAGGGCGCGUAGGUGGCCCGGUCAGUCUUUGGUGAAAGCGCGGGGCUCAACCCUGCGUCGGCCAGGGGAUACUGCCGCGGCUCGAGCACUGUAGAGGCAGGCGGAAUUCCGGGUGUAGCGGUGGAAUGCGUAGAGAUCCGGAAGAACACCGGUGGCGAAGGCGGCCUGCUGGGCAGUUUUGGCUGACACUGAGGCGCGACAGCGUGGGGGAGCAAACAGG
Molecule: ribosomal RNA, 259 nt
Filed under: uncultured bacterium
Lineage: Bacteria
Description: partial 16S ribosomal RNA
Rfam family: Bacterial small subunit ribosomal RNA
Source: RNAcentral